Molecule: long non-coding RNA, 273 nt
Filed under: Olea europaea (common olive)
Lineage: Eukaryota; Viridiplantae; Streptophyta; Magnoliopsida; Lamiales; Oleaceae
Description: long non-coding RNA (OEUR_LNC010948)
Source: RNAcentral
GGAAUUGACAUACAUACUAAAUUCAGAAAGGUUAACAGGGCUAGUUUUACUCAAGAGAGACUAUUAGCUAUAAUUGGUUAAUUCGGUUGUUAAUACAAUCUUAGAGGAUGUUUGUAAAUAUCUUCGAUAACAUCCCAAUUAACUUGGGAGAGUUUAAAACAAGACCUUGAAAUUUCAAAACUAACAAACGUCAGGUAAAACUGUAAAAAAAAAUGAUAAGUACUAAAGAAAGAAAUUCACAGGGCUUCAGAGGGUCGAAACGAUACAACCUAG